ACUGGGCGUAAAGGGCACGCAGGCGGUGACUUAAGUGAGGUGUGAAAGCCCCGGGCUUAACCUGGGAAUUGCAUUUCAUACUGGGUCGCUAGAGUACUUUAGGGAGGGGUAGAAUUCCACGUGUAGCGGUGAAAUGCGUAGAGAUGUGGAGGAAUACCGAAGGCGAAGGCAGCCCCUUGGGAAUGUACUGACGCUCAUGUGCGAAAGCGUGGGGAGCAAACAGGAUUAGAUACCCUGGUAGUCCACGCUGUAAACGAUGUCGAUUUGGGGGUUGAACUAUAAGUUUGGCGCCCGUAGCUAACGUGAUAAAUCGACCGCCUGGGGAGUACGGCCGCAAGGUUAAAACUCAAAUGAAUUGACGGGGGCCCGCACAAGCGGUGGAGCAUGUGGUUUAAUUCGAUGCAACGCGAAGAACCUUACCUACUCUUGACAUCCAGAGAACUUUCCAGAGAUGGAUUGGUGCCUUCGGGAACUCUGAGACAGGUGCUGCAUGGCUGUCGUCAGCUCGUGUCGUGAG
Molecule: ribosomal RNA, 517 nt
Filed under: uncultured bacterium
Lineage: Bacteria
Description: bacterial SSU rRNA
Rfam family: Bacterial small subunit ribosomal RNA
Source: RNAcentral